UGGGUGUAUCUGAAGCCUAAAUCAGAGCUU
RNAcentral lists this non-coding RNA (30 nucleotides) under Rattus norvegicus (Norway rat). Lineage: Eukaryota; Metazoa; Chordata; Mammalia; Rodentia; Muridae. The record is from RNAcentral.